This 397-nucleotide transfer-messenger RNA is filed under the name bovine gut metagenome. It matches the Rfam family "transfer-messenger RNA". Rfam says of the family: Bacterial tmRNA, also known as 10Sa RNA or SsrA, is named for its dual tRNA and mRNA-like properties. The record is from RNAcentral.
GGGGAUGUACUGGUUUUGACAGCGCUGAUGUCGGACGGUAAGCAUGCCGGGCGUCGGGACCUUGCCCGUAAAUCUCAGAUCCCAAAAAUCAGUUGCCAACAACAACUACGCACUCGCUGCUUAAUCUGACUCAGUCGAUUGGCUUAAUCCGCGCCGCCUAGGUUGCGACGCCGACGAGUAUCCCUCGGAAGUUCCGCCCGUUAUCUUCCGGCCAAGGGGUAUCAUCACGAACGGGAUGCUCCGGUGGACGCCUUUAAAGCCGGGUAAGCCCCAAAGGCUAAGGGUCCGAUAGCCCGUCUUCCGGCAGUCUCUCCCCUACAAUCAAAGGAAGAAUAAGCAUGUAGAAAGCCGCCUGGUGCGACGUUUGGACGGCGGUUCGACUCCGCCCAUCUCCACA